UAUCAUACGCAUUCGAUUUUGCACAAUGAUGACUAGGGAGAGUGGAAGUCUAUACAUCAAACUUUAACCGUAAUUAAAUGGGGAAGUUUUAGUUGUGAUUUUAGCAAUUUUUUUUUUCUUUUUACAGCCACACCAGGGGCCUAUGGAUGUUUUCAGGCCAGAGGUCAAACUGGAGCUGCAGCUGCAGCCUACAUCACAGCCAUGGCAACACCUGAUCCUUAUCCCACUGAGCCAGGCCGGGGAUUGAACCCACAUCCUCACAGAGACAGCGUCAGGUCCUUAACCCCCUGAGCCACAAUGGGAAUGCUAAUUUUGACAGUGUAUAAUGUACAGUUUUUAAAAUGAAUAUGCCCUGAUUAUAAAGGUAGGCAGACUGAAAUAGGGGAGCUGGUAUAAUAGUAAGUAGUUAGGGAAAUCCAUUAUAGAGAUUAUUUUGAAUAUAUAAUACACUGGAGGAUUAACAUCCAUUCAUCUAUCUUAAUCACUUAACCAUUAAUUCAUUCCACAAAUACAUAGUACCAUUUUACUUUGUGAUAAUCACUAUGGAGGCAACAGAUAGACAGUUUUGAGCAAAACAAACUUGGUCCCAGCCCCCAUGUCGUUUGGUGGGGAAAGGGAAAAUAAUCGAAGAAUCACCCAGUACUCGUAAAAUUACAAUCCGUGAUAAGUGCACCAAAAGAAAGAGACAGUGCUGUGAGGGUCCAUGACCGGAAUCCAAUAGUCAUAUGAAAGUUUCAAAUUAUUAUCUAGUCAAAAUAUACAGUGCCCGUGUAUAUGUUUUUUGUACUGUAUGCUGUCACCAGCAUCAACAUCUCAAAUGAAUAUUCCAAAACUGGGAAAAAUUAUAGGAGGAAAUAUCUAGAACUACCCAAAGAGACUGCAUAUUCUACGAAAGGAAUAGUGAAAAAAAAAAUUGAACCAUUGCAUAAUGAAUCCUGGAUAAUUGGCUGAAGUUCUGAACAGUGCAGCCCCCCUAGAUUUAGAGUUUUCCACCACACUCAUAUCAUUCACACAUUUUCCCCCAGAAUCUGAAAGAUAAAUCUGACAAGCUCUGGAUAAACACUGGCUAAGACUCUAUAGUUUCUGGGUAUGGGAAGGUGACAUGACUUAUUCUCUGUUAUCAUCGGGCCUCCUAUUAGCCAGCCUCGGCAAGGAGUCUGGAUAGAUCAACAUGUCAGGCUGGAGGCUGGGUGAUAAUUCAGACUGGGGUUGAGUUGAAGCCACCACUCAAACAAUUGGGAAAAUACAGCUGUGCACAGAUUCCUUUUAAACUGCAGGAAAAGUGAGAAGAGGAAUAGGGUUUUGAACUCUGGCAUAAUGAAUCAGAUCACACAAUUGGAGACUUGCCUACUCAGUUACACCCGUUAUAUUUUUUUCCUCUAGGUGAGAUGAAAAUGGUGCUGUUUUGGAAUGUGUUAGAAAUGGGAUUGCAAAGGAGGGUUCAGGCACAAUCAGGAAAAACAGAUCUCGGGCAAAGAUGUUUUGACACACAUGGUCGUUGCCUCGUUAGUCGUCCUCGCAUAGCUGCAGCACACGGAGAGAUCAUAUCCUGAGAAGGAGAGAGAAACGAGGUUUGGAGACCAGUGCUGACUUUUUGCCAGUGGAGACCUAUCUGUCCAAUAAUGUUUUAAUAAAUAAAGCAAAAUUUCAGAAGUUUUAUGGACUUUUCCCUUCACCAUCUGCAUUAGGCAGAAUUCUAGAAUAUCUCCCAAGAUCUCUAUGCCUGGGUGUGUGUGUCCAGCACAAUACCCUGAGUCAGGAAACAGCCACAUAGUAGAGCAGACCACCUGGUAGGGAACCUUGGGAGUUAAGGGCCUCAGUCCUACAACCACAAGGAACUGAAUUCUGUCAGCAGCCAGAGAGCCUAGAAAAGAAUCCCAGCCUCAGGUGAGACCCCAGCCCUGGCUGACAUCUAUCAGCAGGCUUGUGAGACCCUGAGCAGAAGAACUAGCUAAGACGCAUCAGACUCCCAACCUGAGGAAACGGAGAGACCACAAAUGUGUUGCUUUAAGCUGCUAAGAGGAAAAAAAACUGUUUUAGGCAGCAAAAGAAAAUAAUACACUAGAAGAACUAUCUCUUCUUCCACCAUCACAGCUGGAAUCAUGAUGUGUCCAAAGACUGCUGAUUUGCAUAUCGCAUACAUGCAAAAAUCAUCCCCAGUGAUACGUUUUAGCAAUUGAAGAUGAAUAUUCAAACUGAGAUCAUGUCUUUGGGUUGAGCCUCUCAACUAAAGACUAGGAAUAUUACAGAAGUCAGUGUCUAGAACUUACCUGAACCAUACUAAAGAUGACUCACGUUACAUAUUUCUUGUUUUUGCAUCCAUUGCACCUAGCUCUUCACUGCAUCUUCUUAUUUAACUGUCCCAACAUCCCUGUGAGCUGGGAGAGGUACUAUCCUAAUUUAUGGAUGACAAAACUGAAGUUUAGAAAAAGUUAGGUAACCUGCUCAGGGGCACACAGCUAGUAAGUGGUAGAGACCUGAUCUAAACCCACCACCCACCUGCUCCUCCAGCUCCACUUCUGAAUGAUAGGCUAUGCCUUUUACUCUCUCAUAACCAACCACCUGGAAAGUAAAUGCACCCUCUUAGCAAAUGUCUCUUGCCUAACUAAACAACAGAUGUUGACAAGUCUUUCUUUCUUUCUCUCUUUCUUUUUUUCCCUUCCAUGCCUUUUUUAGUGGGAUCCAGAUCUCUGGUUUCUUGAAGUGAUUUUGCUUAUGUUAUCACUUUGCAACAGGAUCACUUAGUUACAGUAAGAAAAAAAUAAACGAGCAGAAGAAACCCCACAGCUGGCACAGGAAUUUGCAACUAGAGAGGCUCUCAGUCUGCUGUCUGCUUUGCUCUCCUGGGCUCGGGUGAUUCCGCUGCUCAGCUCCAACAUUUUCCCAACUCCCUAGUUUCCUUACAAAGCAGAGUCAGGCACUGUAUCACUUUCCAACAUCAAUAAAGCAGGUCUCAUUUUCCUAAGUUGAUGAGGCCCUGAUAGAUCUGAUGACCUUUUGUUGGAAUGUCAUUUACAAGUAUGAUUAAAUUAUUCUCCAUGGCUGAACUGAUACCUACAGCAGAUAUAUCUUCCUCCAGAGGCAGCAGAAAAAUCUACUGCUUUUACCAUCUCAUGCACUGCAGAGCUCUUUUGUAGGCAUGUUACAGAUUUUCAGUUUGGGGCUGGAAAAGGUGACCCUGGUAAUGAUGACUUUUUUUUUCUAAUCUUUUUUAGCUGCUGUCAUUUUUCUCCAAUCUCAUUAACCAUAUCUCUGUGACUACACCUUAAAGGGAUAUGUAUUUAUUUAAACUAUUAGGUAGAAUGGAAUAAAUUUAAAGAAUGCUAGUCAGAUCUCUUGGAUUUCUACAUUUUCCUGGGAAGUAAGAAAUCUGACGUUUCUGGGCAUUGCUGUUAACUUGCUAUGGUAACUGUUGUAUAUGCAUUAUUUAAUUUAAUCUUGACAAGAACUUACGGAGUAUAAUCUUUGCAUUUAGCUUACAUUUUGAAGGCCUCCAAUGUGUUAAACACUGUUCAGAUAUCUUGGAAAGAGCAAGUCAUGUCCUCCUCCAAUUUAUCUCUAUAUGAGGAAACCGAGGCAGAGAUUAAGUAGGCUUUUCAGGUGUCCCUAUCUUGUGCCUGGAACAUAAUAGGUGGUCAAUAAAUGUUGAAAGUGUAGGAGUUCCAUCAUGGCUCAGCGGUUAACAAAUCCGACUAGUAUCCAUGAGGACGUGGGUUUGAUCCCUGGCCUUGCUCAGUGGGUUCAGGAUCCGGCCUUGCUGUGAGCUGUGGUGCAGGCUGCAGACAGGGCUCGGAUCCCGCAUUGCUGUGGCUGUGGCGUAGGCCAGCGGCUUCAGCUCCAAUUGGACCUCUAGCCUGGGAACCUCCACAUGCCAC
RNAcentral lists this long non-coding RNA (3875 nucleotides) under Sus scrofa (pig). RNAcentral describes it as "lncRNA (ENSSSCG00000057148.1)". Lineage: Eukaryota; Metazoa; Chordata; Mammalia; Artiodactyla; Suidae. The record is from RNAcentral.